Molecule: long non-coding RNA, 1078 nt
Organism: Arachis stenosperma
Lineage: Eukaryota; Viridiplantae; Streptophyta; Magnoliopsida; Fabales; Fabaceae
Exons: 3
Source: RefSeq, a predicted model, not a curated record
ACUCACUGUCCUCUGCCUUCUUUAACAACGACUCCAUUUCGUUUUUCUGCUCAAUUUUCUCAAACCUUUUUAGGAUUUUGGUCAAAAGAGGAUGACCUUUAAUGGAGCCUCCAAUUGGGAACAAGUUCUGUAUCGGUCGAAAAAUCUGUGUUGCAUAUUUGCCCGAAGGCUUUUUUAUUGUGUUUUAUUUCCAUUUUUUGCCUUAAACUAGUGGUAUACUAUGUUGCAUAUUUGCCCGAAGGCUUUUUUUAUUGUGUUUUCUUUUAUGCUUGUUCUAAGAUCUUGGUAAUUCGGGAGGUGGGAAGUCUAGCUGUAAUUUGAUUUCAAACAGUUAUAAGGUGAUGCAUGAAGUUCAACAACCUAGUACCAGAAAAAGUCAGCAAGAUAGAAGUGAUUUUUUCUCGAGUACAAAUACUAGUGCUCUCUACAAGCCUUUUGCAGCUUCAUCUACAGGAAUGAAGAGACUGUCUCCAUAUGGUAAUUCUGCUGUUGAUGCUUAUCCCAAAAAGAUGAGGGCUGUUAUAAAUAAAAGUGAGUAUGAAAGAUCCAAAGUGGUUCCGACAGCCCAAAAGUGGCAGGUAAGGACAAUAGCAACUGAAGGAAUUAUUUCAUCAUAUAAAUGCUAAAGAGUGGUUGUCUGGAGUCAAUGUAGGUGAGUCUCCAUGGAUUCUUGAGGGUAUUGGAGUUCCGUGACACUCUUCUGGCAGCCCUGCAUGAUGACGGAUUUGCUGAUGUUGACUCUGAAAGUAGCAACCCUUUAUUUAUCAAGAAUUUUGAGGACUCUAUUUUGUAUGAGACUAUGAGUGAUACAUGGGCUUAUGUAGCUGUCUAAACAAUUAUUGCUUACCGCCGCUCUAUUUUAUCUUUGCCCAUUGUAGGAUAAUAAAUGAACUUUUGAUAUUUCUAUCAUGGUUGUAGCUGUAUCGUUGUACUUUUAAAAUCAUAAUUUGUUUUUCAUACCCCUCAUAUUUCUCUUUAUCAUGUGCGAUGGUGUAACAGUGCUCUGAGUUAUUUCUACUUUCUUUUACUUGAGGGACAGAGGAUAGUCUUUUUUAUCUUUUGGCUGCAUUCCCCUUGU